RNAcentral lists this ribosomal RNA (757 nucleotides) under Bacillus halotolerans. RNAcentral describes it as "bacterial SSU rRNA". It matches the Rfam family "Bacterial small subunit ribosomal RNA", at positions 48 to 787 of the family's 1533-position model. The record is from RNAcentral. Lineage: Bacteria; Bacillati; Bacillota; Bacilli; Caryophanales; Bacillaceae.
CUAAUACAUGCAAGUCGAGCGGACAGAUGGGAGCUUGCUCCCUGAUGUUAGCGGCGGACGGGUGAGUAACACGUGGGUAACCUGCCUGUAAGACUGGGAUAACUCCGGGAAACCGGGGCUAAUACCGGAUGCUUGUUUGAACCGCAUGGUUCAAACAUAAAAGGUGGCUUCGGCUACCACUUACAGAUGGACCCGCGGCGCAUUAGCUAGUUGGUGAGGUAAUGGCUCACCAAGGCAACGAUGCGUAGCCGACCUGAGAGGGUGAUCGGCCACACUGGGACUGAGACACGGCCCAGACUCCUACGGGAGGCAGCAGUAGGGAAUCUUCCGCAAUGGACGAAAGUCUGACGGAGCAACGCCGCGUGAGUGAUGAAGGUUUUCGGAUCGUAAAGCUCUGUUGUUAGGGAAGAACAAGUACCGUUCGAAUAGGGCGGUACCUUGACGGUACCUAACCAGAAAGCCACGGCUAACUACGUGCCAGCAGCCGCGGUAAUACGUAGGUGGCAAGCGUUGUCCGGAAUUAUUGGGCGUAAAGGGCUCGCAGGCGGUUCCUUAAGUCUGAUGUGAAAGCCCCCGGCUCAACCGGGGAGGGUCAUUGGAAACUGGGGAACUUGAGUGCAGAAGAGGAGAGUGGAAUUCCACGUGUAGCGGUGAAAUGCGUAGAGAUGUGGAGGAACACCAGUGGCGAAGGCGACUCUCUGGUCUGUAACUGACGCUGAGGAGCGAAAGCGUGGGGAGCGAACAGGAUUAGAUACCC